This 225-nucleotide ribosomal RNA is filed under the name uncultured bacterium. RNAcentral's name for it is "partial 16S ribosomal RNA". It matches the Rfam family "Bacterial small subunit ribosomal RNA", at positions 95 to 334 of the family's 1533-position model. The record is from RNAcentral.
UAGGCGCACGGGUGAGUAACACGUGGAUCAUCUACCUCUUAGUGGGGAAUAACCCUGGGAAACCGGGGCUAAUACCGCAUAAGCCUGGAAAGGGAAAGCAGCAAUGCGCUGAGAGAGGAGUCCGCGGCCGAUUAGCUAGUUGGUAGGGUAAUGGCCUACCAAGGCGAUGAUCGGUAGCCGGCCUGAGAGGGCACACGGCCACACUGGCACUGAAACACGGGCCAG